AUACGUAGGGGGCGAGCGUUGUCCGGAAUGAUUGGGCGUAAAGGGCGCGUAGGCGGCCCGGUAAGUCUGGAGUGAAAGUCCUGUUUUUAAGAUGGGAAUUGCUUUGGAUACUGUCGGGCUUGAGUGCAGGAGAGGUAAGUGGAAUUCCCAGUGUAGCGGUGAAAUGCGUAGAGAUUGGGAGGAACACCAGUGGCGAAGGCGACUUACUGGACUGUAACUGACGCUGAGGCGCGAAAGUGUGGGGAGCAAACAGGAUUAGAUACCCUGGUAGUCCACACUGUAAACGAUGAAUGCUAGGUGUAGGGGGUAUCGACCCCUUCUGUGCCGCAGUCAACACAAUAAGCAUUCCGCCUGGGGAGUACGGCCGCAAGGUUGUAACUCAAAGGAAUUGACGGGG
RNAcentral lists this ribosomal RNA (397 nucleotides) under uncultured bacterium. RNAcentral describes it as "partial 16S ribosomal RNA". It matches the Rfam family "Bacterial small subunit ribosomal RNA", at positions 523 to 918 of the family's 1533-position model. The record is from RNAcentral.